Molecule: ribosomal RNA, 468 nt
Filed under: uncultured bacterium
Lineage: Bacteria
Description: partial 16S ribosomal RNA
Rfam family: Bacterial small subunit ribosomal RNA
Source: RNAcentral
GAUGAACGCUGGCGGCGUGCUUAACACAUGCAAGUCGAACGGAAAGGCCCUGCUUUUGUGGGGUGCUCGAGUGGCGAACGGGUGAGUAACACGUGAGUAACCUGCCCUUGACUUUGGGAUAACUUUAGGAAACUGGGGCUAAUACCGGAUAGGAGCUUCUGCUGCAUGGUGGUGGUUGGAAAGUUUCGGCGGUUGGGGAUGGACUCGCGGCUUAUCAGCUUGUUGGUGGGGUAGUGGCUUACCAAGGCUUUGACGGGUAGCCGGCCUGAGAGGGUGUCCGGCCACAUUGGGACUGAGAUACGGCCCAGACUCCUACGGGAGGCAGCAGUGGGGAAUAUUGCACAAUGGGCGGAAGCCUGAUGCAGCAACGCCGCGUGCGGGAUGACGGCCUUCGGGUUGUAAACCGCUUUCGCCUGUGACGAAGCGUGAGUGACGGUAAUGGGUAAAGAAGCACCGGCUAACUACGUG